Molecule: small RNA, 127 nt
Filed under: Oscillatoriales cyanobacterium
Lineage: Bacteria; Bacillati; Cyanobacteriota; Cyanophyceae; Oscillatoriales
Also listed under: 1 other name
Description: Guanidine-I sequence
Rfam family: Guanidine-I riboswitch aptamer
About the family: This family represents a conserved RNA structure found upstream of the ykkC and yxkD genes in Bacillus subtilis and related genes in other bacteria. The function of this family is unclear although it has been suggested that it may function to switch on efflux pumps and detoxification systems in response to harmful environmental molecules.
Source: RNAcentral
UCAUAAGAUCUCUAGGGUUCCGACCUGUAACUGAAAUGGGUGGCUGGUCCGAGAGGGGUCGGUUUAUCAGAUUUUCCGGUAUGGAAAAGCUAGAUAGAUUACACGGCGGGAUAAAAGCCCGGGAGAG